GAUGAACGCUGGCGGCGUGCUUAACACAUACAAGUCGAACGGAAAGGCCUCUGCUUGCAGGGGUACUCGAGUGGCGAACGGGUGAGUAACACGUGGGUGAUCUGCCCUGCACUUCGGGAUAAGCCUGGGAAACUGGGUCUAAUACCGGAUAGGACAAUGGUUUGGAUGCUGUUGUGGAAAGUUUUUCGGUGUGGGAUGAGCUCGCGGCCUAUCAGCUUGUUGGUGGGGUAAUGGCCUACCAAGGCGUCGACGGGUAGCCGGCCUGAGAGGGUGUACGGCCACAUUGGGACUGAGAUACGGCCCAGACUCCUACGGGAGGCAGCAGUGGGGAAUAUUGCACAAUGGGCGCAAGCCUGAUGCAGCGACGCCGCGUGGGGGAUGACGGCCUUCGGGUUGUAAACUCCUUUCGCUAGGGACGAAGCGUUUUUGUGACGGUACCUGGAGAAGAAGCACCGGCUAACUACGUG
Molecule: ribosomal RNA, 467 nt
Filed under: uncultured bacterium
Lineage: Bacteria
Description: partial 16S ribosomal RNA
Rfam family: Bacterial small subunit ribosomal RNA
Source: RNAcentral